RNAcentral lists this non-coding RNA (46 nucleotides) under Schistosoma margrebowiei. Lineage: Eukaryota; Metazoa; Platyhelminthes; Trematoda; Strigeidida; Schistosomatidae. The record is from RNAcentral.
AAAUUGCUGAAGAGUCCCAUACAAGGACGAAACGGUCGUCCAGUGC